Long non-coding RNA from Heterocephalus glaber (naked mole-rat), 1215 nucleotides. RefSeq lists it as uncharacterized. The record is from RefSeq and is a predicted model, not a curated record. NCBI's taxonomy places the organism in Eukaryota, Metazoa, Chordata, Mammalia, Rodentia, Bathyergidae.
UUAGAGUCAACCCAGGACAUUGCAAAAACAGGCAAAAAGACAUCACAAUAAAACACUGCUAAUCUGAAUGUCCCCCAAGAUUCAUGUGUUGAAACUUAAUCACCAAGGACACAGCACCUCUGCCCUCUGAAGGAGGCAGCACCAAAACAACAUCUUGGAAGCAGAGAGGAGCCCUCACCAGUUGCUGGACCUGAUUAUGUCUUGGUCUUCAGUUUUCCAGACUUCAGAACUACAAAGAUGCUAACACUGAAAAGUCAGAUGCAAAAUUCACACUGAUGCAGCUCUGCUCUUCUGAAGCCCACAGUACACUGACGUGUGGUGUAUGUCCAAUGUGAGAACAUCAAGCUAGACAUCUUCUCAAAACCCAACUGAGUGUGGAAUACAUAUCCUCUUACUUCCUAGCUUCAGCAAGUUUGUAGGCUUCUGGGAAUUUAUGUUCAGAUCUCCAAAAAUGCCUAUCCAUUUUGAAUCUACAUUUUGUUUACUAACCAAUCAGGUUGUUUACAGCUAUAAAUUCAUCAUACAGUCUAUUCAUGUCUAAAAUAUCUACUGUUUUAUAAAACUUUUCAUUCUGAAAUUUUAUAGAAAAGGCUGCAAAGAAAUGUACCAGGAAGUCUUAUGCCCCUUGCACCCAGCUUCCCCCAGUGUUAACAUUUUACAUGAGUCUAGAACAAUCCCAAAACUAAGAAAAUGGCCUUAGCAUAAUCUAAACGCAGUACUCAGAUUUCAUCAGUCAAACAUGCACUUGUGUGUGUGCAUCUACAAAAUUUUAUCAGUACUGUGUAGUCUUGUGUAACAACAACCACUACCAUCAACACAUUCAACUGUACAUUACCAGAACACUCCUUUGUCACCCAUGUAGCCACACCCAUCUCCUCCCCAAAUCUCUAACCUCUUGUAGCUAUUAAUCUGUUUUCCAUCUCUAUAAUUAUGGUUCCUAAUAAAUGUUAAAUAAAUGAAAUCAUAUAGUAUGUCACUAUUUGGAAUUGGCUUUUUUUUUUUUUUAACUUGGCAUGAUUUACUGAGGGCUUAUACAAGCUGCUGCAUGUGUCAGUGGUCUGUUUUUUUGUUUGUUUGUUUGUUUGUUUUUAUCAGAGCAGUGUUCCAUGGUACAGAUAUAUCAGUUUGUUUAACCAUUCAUCCCUCUGAAAGACAUUCCAGUAGUUUCCAAAUUUUUGCUAUUACGAAAAUGCUGAAACAUACACCCAUGGGAAA